This 1760-nucleotide long non-coding RNA is filed under the name Heterocephalus glaber (naked mole-rat). RNAcentral's name for it is "lncRNA (ENSHGLG00100051924.1)". The record is from RNAcentral. Lineage: Eukaryota; Metazoa; Chordata; Mammalia; Rodentia; Bathyergidae.
GAAUAUAUAAAUAAACCAGAAGUUACAAUACAGUGAGUUGAAGACUACAAAGGACGCCUAACCCAGCUGUGAUCUGUCAGGAUUGCUUGAGAUUACCUUUGUGUGAAUCCCAGCGUUGUUUCCAGACGGUACAAAUGCUGGCAGAACUCCUACCCUUGCCACAGGAUGAAAGACUUCCCAUGUCACUGGUGCCAUCAUCAGCUUCUCAGAAGCACAGGGAGUGUGGCCUCCAGACUCAUGUGUGAAGCAGACAUUGACUUGGUAAGGACAAGAGAUGAAUUCCACAGUGCUGUGGCCAUUCCCAGGAGGGAGAAGGGAGACCCGGAUUCCCCAUCUUCUUCCCCUUCGAAAACACAUAGAGCUAGGUGCUUCUGGGCAAAACACUGUGUUUGGGGCAGGAAGGAUGGAGAGAGUGCUGGCAGAUGGGUUACCCCAAGUCAUAAUUACAGUGCAGCCAGGAAGCCAAGCCUGCAGUCUCAGCUGGGCCACGGACUGCAGGGAUCUUGACACUCACCAGAGCUGAGAUUUCUAACCCACUGGACUUGGAGGGUGGUGUUUGGAAAGACUCAGGUCGGUUAAGUCCUAGUAUCCAGCAGGCACAUAGGGAUCCAGAGCUGGCAGCUCAUUUGCAGCCUCUGUAAAUCAGGUCUCCAUUCACAGAAUGAAUCAGUUUCCACCUGAGGUAAUUAUGCUCCAUGCCUCGGUCAGGGGGCAACUGAUAACUUGUGUGAAUUAUUCUUCAAAUUGUGCAGCCCAGCAGAGAUGGCAAUAAUUAACCUCCCAGCAGAAACAGUGUACUGAGCAAGGAGCUUAGGUGUUCUGGAAAGUAUCCUCCUCAAGGCCCUUUAAAUGUCAUUACUGUAACCUUGAGCAAGGAAGGUCAGUCUGAGAAACAAAGAUCUAAGAAAGUUUGCUGGGUGAUUGGAAAAGGGGUCAGCUGCAAGCUGUGCCCCACACCCCAGCCUUCCAGCUGUAGUCAGACUUUGCCCAGUUCCCCAGCCAGUUAUGACCAGUAACAGUGGCAGCCAGGCACGGCGCUAAGUAUGACAACCACAUGGUUUCAUGCAUCUGCACACAACCCUACAUUGCCUGCAUUAGGAUACUGUCAUAGUUUAUAUCUAGAUGUCCCCAAGAGCCUUGUGCACUCAUAGGUGGGGCUUUUGGAAGGCAGUUGGAUUACAGGGACUUGUACCUGACUUGCUGUCAGAUAAGUUCUGGGUGGAAGAGGUGGGUCAUUUGGGGGCGUGGCCUGGAAGGCUGUAUCACCCUUGCCACUCCUCCCUUCGUGCUCUCUGCUUCCUGGAUUCCAUGAGGUGAGCAGAUUUUCCUUCUCAAUGCCCUUCUGCCCUAGCAUCCUGCCUUGGAGUCGGCCAACUAUGGACCUAAACAGCCAAAAUAAACCUCUCCUGUUUUAAGUUGUGGUGGGUAUUUUGUCCCAGCCAUGAGGAAAGUGACUAAGACAGAUAGUGUAAGAAACCACAGGAAAGAAUUCCAGCCUUUCAGUGGACAAGUUAAAUGAUCUGGCCAAGCUCAUGACAUAACUAGGGGAUGCAGACCCAGAACUUGAACCUAAAUCGUCCAGGUUCUUGCUGGUGUAACACUGACUGGUCCUCAAAGAGUUCCUAGGGAGGAACUAAGCUCCUGUUGGAAAAAUGAGGCUGGGAGGGAAGGAAAGAAACCUCUGGUGCUGCUCAUUUACAUCCUACCCUGGUAUCAUACCCUGGCUUGUCUGGGCUACAUUGAGUGAAGAGUUAUCUUGG